GAUGAACGCUGGCGGCGUGCCUAAUACAUGCAAGUCGAGCGAACAGACGAGGAGCUUGCUCCUUUGACGUUAGCGGCGGACGGGUGAGUAACACGUGGGUAACCUACCUAUAAGACUGGGAUAACUUCGGGAAACCGGAGCUAAUACCGGAUAAUAUUUCGAACCGCAUGGUUCGAUAGUGAAAGAUGGCUUUGCUAUCACUUAUAGAUGGACCUGCGCCGUAUUAGCUAGUUGGUAAGGUAACGGCUUACCAAGGCAACGAUACGUAGACGACCUGAGAGGGUGAUCGGCCACACUGGAACGGAGACACGGUCCAGACUACUACGGGAGGCAGCAGUAGGGAAUCUUCCGCAAUGGGCGAAAGCCUGACGGAGCAACGCCGCGUGAGUGAUGAAGGUCUUCGGAUCGUAAAACUCUGUUAUUAGGGAAGAACAAACGUGUAAGUAACUGUGCACGUCUUGACGGUACCUAAUCAGAAAGCCACGGCUAACUACGUG
This 497-nucleotide ribosomal RNA is filed under the name uncultured bacterium. Its description in RNAcentral is "partial 16S ribosomal RNA". It matches the Rfam family "Bacterial small subunit ribosomal RNA", at positions 28 to 507 of the family's 1533-position model. The record is from RNAcentral.